This 354-nucleotide ribosomal RNA is filed under the name uncultured bacterium. RNAcentral describes it as "partial 16S ribosomal RNA". It matches the Rfam family "Bacterial small subunit ribosomal RNA", at positions 338 to 709 of the family's 1533-position model. The record is from RNAcentral.
CCUACGGGUGGCAGCAGUAGGGAAUAUUGCACAAUGGGGGAAACCCUGAUGCAGCGACGCCGCGUGAAUGAAGAAGGUUUUCGGUUUGUAAAGCUCUAUCAUCAGGGAAGAAAAUGACGGUAUCUGACCAAGAAGCACCGGCUAACUCCGUGCCAGCAGCCGCGGUAAUACGGAGGGUGCAAGCGUUACUCGGAUUUACUGGGGGUAAAGGGGGCGUAGGCGGGUAAGUAAGUCAGGUGUGAAAGCCUGGGGCUCAACCACAGGACUGCUUUGGAAACUGUUUCUCUGGAGUAUAGGAGGGGUAGGUGGAAUUCCUGGUGUAGGGGUGAAAUGCGUAGAGAUCAAGAGGAAUAC